Molecule: ribosomal RNA, 253 nt
Filed under: uncultured bacterium
Lineage: Bacteria
Description: partial 16S ribosomal RNA
Rfam family: Bacterial small subunit ribosomal RNA
Source: RNAcentral
UACGAAGGGGGCUAGCGUUGUUCGGAAUGACUGGGCGUAAAGGGAGCGUAGGCGGUAAGUUACGUUUGAUGUGAAAGCCCUGGGCUUAACCUGGGAACUGCAUUGAAUACGGACUUACUAGAGUGAAAGAGGGGAAGAUGGAAUUGCGUGUGUAGAGGUGAAAUUCGUAGAUAUACGCAAGAACACCGAUGGCGAAGGCAGUCUUCUGGCUUUUAACUGACGCUAAGGCUCGAAAGCGUGGGGAGCAAACAGG